AAAAUUAUGUAUACACGUAUAGGCAGCUAGAGAUCUCCCUGCCUGCCUCCUCCCCUCCCCCGAGACGGGCAGCUCCGAUCCCGCAGGAACGCCUGAAACUGUUUCAGACCAAGAAUGGUAACUACAAUGGGACAAUCCAGCCGUUUACCAACAAAUGAACAGAACUUACAGAAGUGUACAUGAAUAGCCCUGUAACAUGAGCACCUUCACUGCACUGCCUGGUGAGGGAUGCACUGGGGCCGGCAGGAGUACAGCCUGACGCAGGACACCAGAGUCAGACAGUCAAGAACAGAAAAUUGGAUUUUUACAACCCAUUGGUAUCUCACCACCACCUUCUUCCAGGUCCUCUACAACUGUGGUACAAGUCCAACUGUCCUGGAAAGCUGAUAAAGAACAUUUGCAUUCCAAGAGUUCCCUUGUUACUACUCAGACAUGGGUGAAUACUGAAAAGUGAGUACUCAGAGAUAUGUAUUACAGUAAAACCAUGAAUUCACCUCAGUGGUAUUUAUGACCUUUUGUAUUUAUUUUCAGAAAACAUGUGAGUAUUUUUUUAGCCAAAAUGCUUGAGGAAAACAAGAAGUCUCAUGAGUACUUGUACAAAGGCUCACGCCUAGGAAUGUUCAUUAGGCCUUUCUCAAACCUCUG
This 645-nucleotide long non-coding RNA is filed under the name Zonotrichia albicollis (white-throated sparrow). RNAcentral's name for it is "lncRNA (ENSZALG00000007864.1)". The record is from RNAcentral. Lineage: Eukaryota; Metazoa; Chordata; Aves; Passeriformes; Passerellidae.